AGUUCCAGAGUUCUACUGUGUAAUAAAGGCUGGGAUCUGAGAUACAGACACGGCGUCAUGACCUAAGAAGGAAGUUCCUUUAACAAGCUAGGAAAUCCAAGGACCAACUUGCUCAAAGUUCUUUGCCAAACAUAUAUGGCAAGCCAUUUGGACAGUUACAAGCCAGAAAACAUCUAAAGGAGCAACUUUCACUCAUCAACUAUUUGAGGUUGAAUGUUUUUCUGUGACCGAGAGACAGAUUGACAACUCCAGCCAGGUAGAAGUUCUGCUGCUUCAGCACUUGCCUGCGGAAGGACUAAUAUUAUGCUGGAGUUGCUGAACAAUGCUACUGGUCCCUAAGAGCUCAUCCAGAAAAUGUUAUUUACAGUUAUCUGAUGUGUUCUGAAUAAAUCGCCCAAUUAAAGCAAAUAAUGACUGGGCAUUCAGAGGGGGUCACAACCAUGGGAAAUCAUCUUUCCUGAGAAACACGAGUGCUUAGAGUAACAGAAAAUCACCGCUGGUACCAGGAACUAUAUAUUUUGAUACAAAUUUCAAUGCAUUUAUCUCUAUCUUUGAUUUUUUUUCUUAACCUCUUUCCAUGUUUAUCUUUCAAUAUCUUUACCCCUGUCUUGUAUCUUUCAGGUUUUACAAAACUUUCUGAACCAUUAUCCUCACUACUACUGGGUUGGAAAUUCAUGAAUGGUUUCUAGUCUUUGACCUUGGGAAAAUAUUUUCAGUGUACAUGCUGCUUCCUAAAAGCCUUUUAUUAUUCUUUAGGGCUAAACUCUGCCACAUCAACCACUAUAAUCUUAAACCACAUCCUAGUGAACAAAAGAUACUAUAUCACUCAGUUGAGUUUAACAAUUACACAUUUGUUCAAAUCUUGUUGGCUGUUAAUUCUCUAAUGUUCUGCAGUACCAACUAGAGUCUUUGGAAUGCACUUGGAAAACCAUGUUCAACUACCUAGUUAUCCAGCAAAGUGAACUUUCAGUCUCCAAGACCUGUAGAUCUAAUAGGUCAUCAUAUAGAAUCUGUCCUUCAUCAUGAAAUCAGGAGUCACUGAAAUGAUGUAAUUAAUUUUUUUCACAGAAUCUCUCCAGCCACACUAUGAGAAAUGGGUUGGAAAGAGAUAAGACAAGCAGUACAAAAUCAGUUAGAAAGCUCUAACCCUUAGGCAUGCGGAUCCGGCUGAAAAGCCCAUGAGAGUAUUUCAGGCAUGGAAAGCCAAGACACUCUAGAAAAAAAAAAAAAAAAACACUAAAUGAAAGAUCUCCGUGAGUGAGAUCCCAGUGGAAAGAACGGGUCAUCAAAGAAGGAGGUACCUUUCUCUGAAGGGAGGAAAGAACUUCCACUUUGACCAUGGCCUCAUCUAAAUAUGAUCAGAGUCAGUGAACUCAGGGGGCUUCCAUAGCCUUGGCAGCUCAUGACAAGAGCCUACGGUGAUUACUGAUGCCAUAAACAAGAGUGUCAAUUUGUUAAGUCAACAACAGGAGUCACUGUGCACUUACUCCUCAUGUAGGAUCUUUGUCCUUAGUGUGCUGUACAUUGAGAUUUAAUGCUAUAACUAGUACUCAAACAGUAUUUUUCACUUUAUGUUUCUGUGUGGGAGCAAACUGUUGAAAUCUUUACUUAAUGUAUGCUAAACUGAUCUUCUGUAUAUAAAGAGAAACGAAAAUGAAUCUU
Molecule: non-coding RNA, 1662 nt
Organism: Oryctolagus cuniculus (rabbit)
Lineage: Eukaryota; Metazoa; Chordata; Mammalia; Lagomorpha; Leporidae
Source: RefSeq, a predicted model, not a curated record